CCUACGGGAGGCAGCAGUGAGGAAUAUUGGUCAAUGGGCGCGAGCCUGAACCAGCCAAGUAGCGUGAAGGAUGACUGCCCUACGGGUUGUAAACUUCUUUUAUAAGGGAAUAAAGUGAGCUACGUGUGCCUUUUUGUACGUACUUUAUGAAUAAGGAUCGGCUAACUCCGUGCCAGCAGCCGCGGUAAUACGGAGGAUCCGAGCGUUAUCCGGAUUUAUUGGGUUUAAAGGGAGCGUAGAGGGGAUGUUAAGUCAGUUGUGAAAGUGUGGGGCGUUACCUUAAAAUUGCAAUUGAUACUGGAAGCCUAGAGUACAGUUGAGGUAGGCGGAAUUAGUGGUGUAGCGGUGAAAUGCUUAGAGAUCACGAAGAACUCCGAUAGCGAAGGCAGCUUACUAAACUGCCACUGACACUGAUGCUCGAGAGUGUGGGUAGCAAACAGGAUUAGAUACCCUAGUAGUC
RNAcentral lists this ribosomal RNA (460 nucleotides) under uncultured bacterium. RNAcentral describes it as "partial 16S ribosomal RNA". It matches the Rfam family "Bacterial small subunit ribosomal RNA", at positions 338 to 795 of the family's 1533-position model. The record is from RNAcentral.